CGCUAUCACUCCUACGGGGAGGCAGCAGUGAGGAAUAUUGGUCAAUGGUCGCAAGACUGAACCAGCCAUGCCGCGUGCAGGAAGACGGGUCCUAUGGAUUGUAAACUGCUUUAUACAGGAGAAACCCUCCACGUGUGGGAGCUUGACGGUACUGUAGGAAUAAGGAUCGGCUAACUCCGUGCCAGCAGCCGCGGUAAUACGGAGGAUCCAAGCGUUAUCCGGAAUCAUUGGGUUUAAAGGGUCCGUAGGCGGCCUUAUAAGUCAGUGGUGAAAGCCCAUCGCUCAACGAUGGAACUGCCAUUGAUACUGUAAGGCUUGAAUUAUUGUGAAGUAACUAGAAUAUGUAGUGUAGCGGUGAAAAUGCUUAGAUAUUACAUGGAAUACCAAUUGCGAAGGCAGGUUACUAACAAUGGAUUGACGCUGAUGGACGAAAGCGUGGGGAGCGAACAGGAUUAGAUACCCUGGUAG
This 468-nucleotide ribosomal RNA is filed under the name uncultured bacterium. RNAcentral describes it as "bacterial SSU rRNA". It matches the Rfam family "Bacterial small subunit ribosomal RNA", at positions 328 to 793 of the family's 1533-position model. The record is from RNAcentral.